AGUGAACGCUGGCGGUAGGCCUAACACAUGCAAGUCGAACGGCAGCACAGUAAGAGCUUGCUCUUACGGGUGGCGAGUGGCGGACGGGUGAGGAAUACAUCGGAAUCUACUUUUUCGUGGGGGAUAACGUAGGGAAACUUACGCUAAUACCGCAUACGACCUACGGGUGAAAGCAGGGGAUCUUCGGACCUUGCGCGAUUGAAUGAGCCGAUGUCGGAUUAGCUAGUUGGCGGGGUAAAGGCCCACCAAGGCGACGAUCCGUAGCUGGUCUGAGAGGAUGAUCAGCCACACUGGAACUGAGACACGGUCCAGACUCCUACGGGAGGCAGCAGUGGGGAAUAUUGGACAAUGGGCGCAAGCCUGAUCCAGCCAUACCGCGUGGGUGAAGAAGGCCUUCGGGUUGUAAAGCCCUUUUGUUGGGAAAGAAAAGCAGCAGGUUAAUACCCCACUGUUCUGACGGUACCCAAAGAAUAGGCACCGGCUAACUUCGUG
RNAcentral lists this ribosomal RNA (492 nucleotides) under uncultured bacterium. RNAcentral describes it as "partial 16S ribosomal RNA". It matches the Rfam family "Bacterial small subunit ribosomal RNA", at positions 29 to 507 of the family's 1533-position model. The record is from RNAcentral.